UGCCCAAGGGUCUGGGAUAACCCCGGGAAAUGGGGAUAAUACCGGAUGGAUCACUAGUGCUGGAAUGCUUGGUGGUUUAAAGGCAACGCCUUUGGAUGGGUCUGCGGCGGAUUAGGUUGACGCCGGUGUAACGUACCGGCGUGCCUGUAAUCCGUACGGGUUGUGGGAGCAAGAGCCCGGAGAUGGAUUCUGAGACACGAAUCCAGGCCCUACGGGGCGCAGCAGGCGCGAAAACUCUACAAUGCAGGCAACUGCGAUAGGGGGACAUCGAGUGGCAUCCACCUUGGGUGCCUGUCCAACCGUCUAAAAAACGGUUGUUAGCAAGGGCCGGGUAAGACCGGUGCCAGCCGCCGCGGUAAUACCGGCGGCUCGAGUGGUGGCCGAUAUUAUUGAGUCUAAAGGGUCCGUAGCCGGCUUUGCAAGUCCCCUGGGAAAUCCAGCGGCCUAACCGUUGGGCUUUCAUGGGAUACUACAUUGCUUGGGACUGGGAGAGGUAGGAGGUACUCGGGGGGUAGGGGUGAAAUCCUGUAAUCCUCCGGGGACCACCGGUGGCGAAGGCGUCCUACCAGAACAGGUCCGACGGUGAGGGACGAAAGCUAGGGGCACGAACCGGAUUAGAUACCCGGGUAGUCCUAGCCGUAAACGAUGCCCGCUAGGUGUCACGACGGUCGUGAAUCGUCGUGGUGCCGUAGGGAAGCCGCGAAGCGGGCCACUUGGGAAGUACG
RNAcentral lists this ribosomal RNA (725 nucleotides) under uncultured archaeon. RNAcentral describes it as "bacterial SSU rRNA". It matches the Rfam family "Archaeal small subunit ribosomal RNA", at positions 110 to 839 of the family's 1478-position model. The record is from RNAcentral.